This 402-nucleotide ribosomal RNA is filed under the name uncultured bacterium. RNAcentral describes it as "bacterial SSU rRNA". It matches the Rfam family "Bacterial small subunit ribosomal RNA", at positions 355 to 774 of the family's 1533-position model. The record is from RNAcentral.
UCGGGAAUUUUGGGCAAUGGGCGAAAGCCUGACCCAGCAACGCCGCGUGAGGGAUGAAGUAUUUCGGUAUGUAAACCUCGAAAGAAUGGGAAGAAUAAAUGACGGUACCAUUUAUAAGCUCCGGCUAACUACGUGCCAGCAGCCGCGGUAAUACGUAGGGAGCAAGCGUUGUUCGGAUUUACUGGGCGUAAAGGGCGCGUAGGCGGCGCGGUAAGUCACUUGUGAAAUCUCUGAGCUUAACUCAGAACGGCCAAGUGAUACUGCUGUGCUAGAGUGCGGAAGAGGCAACCGGAAUUCUUGGUGUAGCGGUGAAAUGCGUAGAUAUCAAGAGGAACACCUGAGGCGAAGGCGGGCUGCUGGGCCGACACUGACGCUGAUGCGCGAAAGCCAGGGGAGCAAACG